This 388-nucleotide ribosomal RNA is filed under the name Cylindrotheca sp. RNAcentral describes it as "partial small subunit ribosomal RNA". It matches the Rfam family "Eukaryotic small subunit ribosomal RNA", at positions 582 to 975 of the family's 1831-position model. Lineage: Eukaryota; Bacillariophyta; Bacillariophyceae; Bacillariales; Bacillariaceae. The record is from RNAcentral.
AUUCCAGCUCCAAUAGCGUAUAUUAAAGUUGUUGCAGUUAAAAAGCUCGUAGUUGGAUUUGUGGUGUACUUCGGCGGCCCGUCACUAUGUGAUGGAGCUUGCUGAAGUCGCCAUCCUUGGGUGAUCCUGUGUGGCAUUAAGUUGUCGUGCAGGGGAUGCCCAUCGUUUACUGUGAAAAAAUUAGAGUGUUCAAAGCAGGCUUAUGCCGUUGAAUAUAUUAGCAUGGAAUAAUAAGAUAGGACCUUGGUACUAUUUUGUUGGUUUGCGCACCAAGGUAAUGAUUAAUAGGGACAGUUGGGGGUAUUCGUAUUUCAUUGUCAGAGGUGAAAUUCUUGGAUUUUUGAAAGACGAACUACUGCGAAAGCAUUUACCAAGGAUGUUUUCAUUA